This 718-nucleotide ribosomal RNA is filed under the name Bacillus sp. Bac37D1. RNAcentral describes it as "bacterial SSU rRNA". It matches the Rfam family "Bacterial small subunit ribosomal RNA", at positions 35 to 739 of the family's 1533-position model. Lineage: Bacteria; Bacillati; Bacillota; Bacilli; Caryophanales; Bacillaceae. The record is from RNAcentral.
GCUGGCGCCGUGCCUAAUAAUGCUUCCAGCGGAAGGAAAAGAGCUUGCUCCUUCCCUUAGCGGGGGAAAGGUGAGUAACACGUGGGUAACCUGCCUGUAAGACUGGGUUUUCCCCGGGAAACCGGGGCUAAUACCGGAUGGUUGUCUGAACCGCAUGGUUCAGACAUAAAAGGUGGCUUCGGCUACCACUUACAGAUGGACCCGCGGCGCAUUAGCUAGUUGGUGAGGUAACGGCUCACCAAGGCGACGAUGCGUAGCCGACCUGAGAGGGUGAUCGGCCACACUGGGACUGAGACACGGCCCAGACUCCUACGGGAGGCAGCAGUAGGGAAUCUUCCGCAAUGGACGAAAGUCUGACGGAGCAACGCCGCGUGAGUGAUGAAGGUUUUCGGAUCGUAAAGCUCUGUUGUUAGGGAAGAACAAGUGCCGUUCAAAUAGGGCGGCACCUUGACGGUACCUAACCAGAAAGCCACGGCUAACUACGUGCCAGCAGCCGCGGUAAUACGUAGGUGGCAAGCGUUGUCCGGAAUUAUUGGGCGUAAAGGGCUCGCAGGCGGUUUCUUAAGUCUGAUGUGAAAGCCCCCGGCUCAACCGGGGAGGGUCAUUGGAAACUGGGGAACUUGAGUGCAGAAGAGGAAAGUGGAAUUCCACGUGUAGCGGUGAAAUGCGUAAAGAUGUGGAGGAACACCAGUGGCGAAGGCGACUCUCUGGUCUGUAA